GGAAUAAUCACUGGAAACGGUGACUAAUACCGCAUGUCAUUACGGAAGGGCAUCCUUCUGUAAGAAAAGGAGUAAUUCGGUAUAGGAUGGGCCCGCAUCUGAUUAGCUAGUUGGUGAGAUAACAGCCCACCAAGGCGACGAUCAGUAGCCGACCUGAGAGGGUGAUCGGCCACAUUGGGACUGAGACACGGCCCAAACUCCUACGGGAGGCAGCAGUGGGGAAUAUUGCACAAUGGGGGAAACCCUGAUGCAGCAACGCCGCGUGAAGGAAGAAGGUUUUCGGAUCGUAAACUUCUAUCAACAGGGACGAAGAAAGUGACGGUACCUGAAUAAGAAGCCCCGGCUAACUACGUGCCAGCAGCCGCGGUAAUACGUAGGGGGCAAGCGUUAUCCGGAAUUACUGGGUGUAAAGGGAGCGUAGGCGGCACGCCAAGCCAGAUGUGAAAGCCCGAGGCUUAACCUCCGGAUUGCAUUUGGAACUGGCGAGCUAGAGUACAGGAGAGGAAAGCGGAAUUCCUAGUGUAGCGGUGAAAUGCGUAGAUAUUAGGAAGAACACCAGUGGCGAAGGCGGCUUUCUGGACUGAAACUGACGCUGAGGCUCGAAAGCGUGGGGAGCAAACAGGAUUAGAUACCCUGGUAGUCCACGCCGUAAACGAUGAGUGCUAGGUGUCGGGGAGGAAUCCUCGGUGCCGCAG
RNAcentral lists this ribosomal RNA (695 nucleotides) under uncultured bacterium. RNAcentral describes it as "bacterial SSU rRNA". It matches the Rfam family "Bacterial small subunit ribosomal RNA", at positions 140 to 851 of the family's 1533-position model. The record is from RNAcentral.